GACGAACGCUGGCGGCGUGCUUAACACAUGCAAGUCGAACGCUGAAGCUCAGCUUUUGUUGGGUGGAUGAGUGGCGAACGGGUGAGUAACACGUGAGUAACCUGCCUCCUUCUUUGGGAUAACGCCCGGAAACGGGUGCUAAUACUGGAUAUUCACUGGUCUUCGCAUGGGGGUUGGUGGAAAGGGUUUUUCUGGUGGGGGAUGGGCUCGCGGCCUAUCAGCUUGUUGGUGGGGUGAUGCCUACCAAGGCUUUGACGGGUAGCCGGCCUGAGAGGGUGACCGGUCACAUUGGGACUGAGAUACGGCCCAGACUCCUACGGGAGGCAGCAGUGGGGAAUAUUGCACAAUGGGCGAAAGCCUGAUGCAGCGACGCCGCGUGAGGGAUGGAGGCCUUCGGGUUGUGAACCUCUUUCGCUCAUGGUCAAGCCGCAACAAUGGUUGUGGUGAGGGUAGUGGGUAAAGAAGCGCCGGCUAACUACGUG
RNAcentral lists this ribosomal RNA (482 nucleotides) under uncultured bacterium. Its description in RNAcentral is "partial 16S ribosomal RNA". It matches the Rfam family "Bacterial small subunit ribosomal RNA", at positions 28 to 507 of the family's 1533-position model. The record is from RNAcentral.